CCUACGGGAGACAGCAGUGAGGAAUAUUGGUCAAUGGACGAGAGUCUGAACCAGCCAAGUCGCGUGAAGGAUGACUGCCCUAUGGGUUGUAAACUUCUUUUAUAUGGGAAUAAAACGUUCCACGUGUGGGAUUUUGUAUGUACCAUAUAAAUAAGGAUCGGCUAAAUCCGUGCCAGCAGCCGCGGUAAUACGGAGGGUCCGAGCGUUAUCCGGAUUUAUUGGGUUUAAAGGGAGCGUAGGGGGAUUGUUAAGUCAGUUGUGAAAGUUUGCGGCUCAACCGUAAAAUUGCAGUUGAAACUGGCAGUCUUGAGUAUAGUAGAGGUGGGCGGAAUGCGUGGUGUAGCGGUGAAAUGCUUAGAUAUCACGAAGAACUCCGAUUGCGAAGGCAGUUCACUGGACUGCAACUGACACUGAGGCUCGAAAGUGUGGGUAUCAAACAGGAUUAGAUACCCCAGUAGUC
RNAcentral lists this ribosomal RNA (460 nucleotides) under uncultured bacterium. RNAcentral describes it as "partial 16S ribosomal RNA". It matches the Rfam family "Bacterial small subunit ribosomal RNA", at positions 338 to 795 of the family's 1533-position model. The record is from RNAcentral.